CUUUGCGAAUUCGAGUAGCGUCAUUUUAGAUGACUGGAGCCUGCCCUUGGCAUAUGCUAUUCAAGUAUGGACAUUUUUGCCUCUGCCCUUGGCUAUUCUUUCCCCCGGCGCCAGAUGGUAAAACUGAACCAUUUUGCACUCGUUGAAGGCAAACAUUCGUAUCCCCGAUGAAAUAGUGCUCCCCCUCUCCUUCAUCACCGGCAUGCUCCUUGCCCACCCCAGUGCUCCCCCUCGCCUUCGUCGCCGGCUUGCUCCUUGCCCACCCCAAUGGUCCUCCUCGUCCACGCCCUCAUCCUCUGCCAAGAAUGAUAGAACUUGUGGAUUUUACAAGUGGGAGAAAGAUUAUGUCAAGUAUUUGGGGGUCUUGGUGAAGGGGAAGGUCAUAGGUGAAACUCCUCUAUAGGUGGAACGGAUGCAUUUGUUGAAUUUUGUGAUGUGAAGUUUCAGAUUUUAGAGUUACGAAGCAUGUACUUGAUAUGAAGAACCAAAUUUUUGAAGUUCAGAAAGAAUUUGCAAAGAAAAAUAGUGGGGUUUCAGUAGAAAGUGUGUGUACGGGCUGUAUGUGUAGGUGUUGUGUUUGGAACUCUUCUAGCAUAUGUAUCCAAGUGAUUUAUAGCAUAUGUGUGUACUGGCUGUAUGUGUAUCCAAGUGAUUUCAAGGCCGAAAUUGUAUCCAGGUUGCAUGAAUGAAACAACUUGUAUGAAA
Molecule: long non-coding RNA, 705 nt
Organism: Phragmites australis (common reed)
Lineage: Eukaryota; Viridiplantae; Streptophyta; Magnoliopsida; Poales; Poaceae
Exons: 2
Source: RefSeq, a predicted model, not a curated record